Molecule: ribosomal RNA, 474 nt
Filed under: uncultured bacterium
Lineage: Bacteria
Description: bacterial SSU rRNA
Rfam family: Bacterial small subunit ribosomal RNA
Source: RNAcentral
CUCAAAGGAAUAGACGGGGACCCGCACAAGUGGUGGAGCAUGUGGUUUAAUUCGAAGAUACGCGAAGAACCUUACCUAGCCUUGACAUUGAUAGAAUACACCAGAGAUGGAGUAGUGCCUUUCGGGGAACUUGAAAACAGGUGCUGCACGGCUGUCGUCAGCUCGUGUCGUGAGAUGUUGGGUUAAGUCCCGCAACGAGCGCAACCCUCGUCCUUAGUUGCCAGCAGGUUAAGCUGGGCACUCUAAGGAGACUGCCUUCGUAAGGAGGAGGAAGGUGAGGACGACGUCAAGUCAUCAUGGCCCUUAUGGCUAGGGCUACACACGUGCUACAAUGGGGCGUACAGAGUGUUGCGAUACCGCGAGGUGGAGCUAAUCACUUAAAGCGUCUCUCAGUUCGGAUAGCAGUCUGCAACUCGACUGCUUGAAGCUGGAAUCACUAGUAAUCGUAGAUCAGCAAUGCUACGGUGAAUACGU